AAAGAAAGAGGGAGGGAGGAGGAAAAAAGGAAAGUAGAGCGCAAUGCAAGGGGAGCGGUCGACGGGUGAGUAACGCGUGGGAAAGUACAUUUUGGUUUGGAAAAAAUCCGGGAAACUGGAGCUAAUACCGGAUAAGCCCUAACGGGGAAAGAUUUAUCGCCGAAAGAUCGGCCCGCGUCUGAUUAGCUAGUUGGUGAGGUAACGGCUCACCAAGGCGACGAUCAGUAGCUGGUCUGAGAGGAUGAUCAGCCACACUGGGACUGAGACACGGCCCAGACUCCUACGGGAGGCAGCAGUGGGGAAUAUUGGACAAUGGGCGCAAGCCUGAUCCAGCCAUGCCGCGUGAGUGAUGAAGGCCUUAGGGUUGUAAAGCUCUUUUGUCCGGGAAGAUAAUGACUGUACCGGAAGAAUAAGCCCCGGCUAACUUCGUC
Molecule: ribosomal RNA, 431 nt
Filed under: uncultured bacterium
Lineage: Bacteria
Description: partial 16S ribosomal RNA
Rfam family: Bacterial small subunit ribosomal RNA
Source: RNAcentral